This 406-nucleotide ribosomal RNA is filed under the name uncultured bacterium. Its description in RNAcentral is "partial 16S ribosomal RNA". It matches the Rfam family "Bacterial small subunit ribosomal RNA", at positions 29 to 526 of the family's 1533-position model. The record is from RNAcentral.
AUUGAACGCUGGCGGCAGGCCUAACACAUGCAAGUCGAACGAGUGGCGGACGGGUGAGUAAUGUCUGGGAAACUGCCUGAUGGAGGGGGAUAACUACUGGAAACGGUAGCUAAUACCGCAUACCAUCGGAUGUGCCCAGAUGGGAUUAGCUAGUAGGUGGGGUAAAGGCUCACCUAGGCGCCGCUCCCUAGCUGGUCUGAGAGGAUGACCAGCCACACGGGAACUGAGAACAGGUCCAGACUCCUACGGGAGGCAGCAGUGGGGAAUAGUGCACAAUGGACGCAAGCCUGAGGAUGCCAGGCCGCGGGGAUGAAGAAGGUCUUCGGGUUGUAAAGUACUUUCAGCGGGGAGGCGUUACCAGCAGAAGAAGCACCGGCUAACUCCGUGCCAGCAGCCGCGGUAAUAC